This 272-nucleotide unclassified non-coding RNA is filed under the name Hevea brasiliensis (rubber tree). Lineage: Eukaryota; Viridiplantae; Streptophyta; Magnoliopsida; Malpighiales; Euphorbiaceae. The record is from RNAcentral.
GGUUAUUCUACUACUUUUCAAGCAAAGUGUGAUCGAAACAACAAUCUUAUCAUGUAUUAUGUCCUCAAGCUCCUUUCUGAAUAAGAAGCUACAAUCAGAAAUGACCUAGCUCUAAGAACUUUAGAGCAAUUUAUGCAAUUUUUUACCUAUAAAUCUACCAAAUCUAAACAAGUAGUAAGAAAAAAGGCCUAAAGGGUCUAACUGGAAUUCCUAGUUUGCAUUCCACCAAAUGAGAUUUCUGAUGCCACAAUCCAGUAAUCAACCCUCCUUUU